AGACGAGGAUGUAUCCCGAUGUUCACUUCCUUGGAGGGAAGCUAGUCACCGUUAGAGAGGUGGAUGUUACCACGAAGGCACACCAACGCCACGAAGGCUCACCCUAUUCUCCUUGAGAUAUCACCACGAAGGCGAUUCUCAACCACUAGUGGUAGACCUUGAGGCGGCCUCCAAACCUUCACAAACUUUCCGGGGGACAAAUCCCAAGUUGAUUCCUCACCGGAGCACUCCUACCGCCUAGGAGUCUCCAACCUCCAAGAGUAACAAGAUCAAGGGGGAAAUGCUCAAGACUUGCUCAAAUCACGAAUUGCUUUGGUCACAAGAGGGAGAGGGAGAGGAUCUAUCUUUUGAUUGGAACAACUCUCAAGAACACUCACUAAUCUCUCCGGGAUCUAAGAUUUGGUGUAGGAGAAGUGAGAGGGAGCCACUUGUGUUCUUAGGACGAUUUGGGAUGAAGUGCUCAACCCUCCCCCGGAGUGGGAGAGGGAUAUUUAUAACCCCAAAGAAAAUAGAGCCGUUUCCCGCAGUUGUUGACCUGCCCGGAUGAUCUGGACGUAUACCCGGAUGAUCCGGGCAAUGCCCGGAUGAUCCGGGAAGGUCAAUAUACAAUGUGGUGAAGUAGAUACCCGGAUGUCCGGGGACAUAGCCGAAUGAUCCGGGCAAUUCCCGGAUGAUCCGGGUGGGUAACCGGAUGAUCCGGCUAGCGGAAUAAGCUUCUGUGAUGAAUUUUACGAAUAACCCGGAUGAUCCGAGCAAAGCCCGGAUGAUAUGGGAGAGGACCCGGAUGAUCCGGCCAAACCAAACUGCUGCAGCCUAGAAACUGAAACAGGCACAACUUUUACAUCCGGACUCCGAUUUUGAUGAUCUUGGGCUCGUUUUGAAGCUAUGAAAAAAACCCAGGUCCUCACAUAGAGAACCACCCAAGAUGAACCAAAAUAGAGGAUGCAAAAUAUGCAAAGGUUUUAUCAUGUAUUUGGGUAACCUAUUUGGCUUUGGAUUUUCUUUGGCAUAUAGGAUAUGAGUGGAAUUGUGUAGAGAAGAUGUUGACUUGAGCAAAUCUAUCACGAACCCCUUUGAUCCCCUCUUAAUAGUGCGGGAUCCCUAUAACUCAAGAAUCAUAAAAGGUCUACACUACAUAGCUAUCAAUAAUCCAUUCUUGAGUGUAUGUGUUCUUUCGGUGUUCAUCACUCCACAACACUAACGUCGAAGGAACUAAUACCUUUGACUCGAGCCUUUCACUUGAGCUUGAAGUUGAAGUUUCUUCUUGGAUCAAGUUGAAUGGCAAGACAUUGGUGAAGCCUUCAAGUAGCUCCCCCAUACACAAUGUGGGAAGCUUUGCUUUGUAUUUAUCUUCAUGUGUCCAUCAUGUGAUCAUCCACAAGCUUCAGGCAUGUAAUCCUUCGGGAUAGUUAUCUUGAACUUGCCCUUGUCAACCAUGAUCAUCAACACUUGAUGUCAUCCUCUCAUAGACACUUGAAAUAUCUCUCUCGAUGCGAGCCCAUGAGAAUCUCCUCUCAAAAACAUAGGCAACACAUAGUAUGGGUUAGUACACAAAGCGCAAUUGACAAAUUCUGACCAUACCACAAGAUCUCACGUGGCACAUGAUUUGCGCUUGUGUGUUGACCAUCUUUGAAUUCAAUCUUCGAUCUUCAUCUUGGUCAACCUUAAUCUUUGCUCCAUGAUUAAUCUUGAUGCACAACUACAUGUAUAUGGCAUUCAUUCCGAAUCCAUUCAAUAUCCUUCUUGCAUCACCCAUGGAACAAACCUUCCUAUAUAACUUGAUGUCAUUGUUUCUUCAUAGGAAUUGUCAUUCAUUAUCAAGUCUCAAUGCAUAUAUAGAUGUUGAUGGAUUUCAUCCACCAAUUCAUCCAAUAUUCUUCAUGCAUUGCAAAUGGAACUUUCCUUCAAAUGUAUAUCUCAGUGCAAACAUUUGUCCAUUAGGAUUGUCAUUUAAUUACCAAAACCACACAUGGGGACUACAUGUACUUUCAAUCUCCCCCAUUUUGGUAAUUGAUGACAAUCUCAACAAGAGGGUUUAUAUAAUGAAUUUUUAAACAAGCAUGAAAUUUAUCCAAGGAUAAAUUUUAUACUUGGGAUGGUUGUAGUAUCAUCAAUACACUACACAAGCAUUUGAUGAUAGUACACCCAUAGUAUAUAGAGCAAACUCCCCCAUAAUAUAUGAAUUUGUGAAUGAACUUUGAAUGUCAUUGCGUAUAUUGGUUGACAUAAACUAGGAGAAUAUUUCUCUAUAUACAAGACUCAUCCAUGCAAUAAGAAUAUAUAACAAGGGUAGAUAUGCAUGAGUGACAAUAAGAACUAGAAAAGAUAUUUAUCUUAAACCCUCUAAACUUCUCCCCCAUUGGCAACAAAUGCCAAAAUGGAAGACAAAACAUCUAGCAGACCAAUAUAGUAUGAGUUCCUCCUUGAUGUGUGCAUAUAACAAAAUGUGAGUGAAAACAAAUGCACAUAUUCAAUGAUGAACAAUUAAAGGAGCUCGAAAUCUAUAGAAUGCAACCAGAUACGAAGAUAUGAACUUUUUCAUGUAUAAAAAUUUCUAAGUGGCCUAUAAUAAUCAUGAUAUGUAUCCACAAAGAAACUCGUAUACACAAAAAGAAAGGUUGCAAUUGAUAAGAACAUGAUAUCCACAAGUGAAUCCACUAUUAUACAACUUGAGCCUAGUCAUAAUAGCAAGGCACAUGGCACAAAGCACAUGGCACAAAUUGAUCUCAUUUGCAUAACACAAAGUGAAGCAAGCAAUCAAAAGAUCCGAUGAGCCAAAAGAAUAAAAGAAUAUUACGAUUUGGGUAAAGGAGUGUUCUAAGGAAAAUAGAGAAGCUCCCCAUGAUUUGUGCACAAUUGAUUUUUUUUAUUUGGAUACAAGUGCACAAAAUAGGAUCAUCACUCCCCCAAAAUCAAUAGGAACACACAACAAUUGCAAGCAAACAUAGAUAAGAGAAGAAGCCUAGCAUUUGCAACAAACAUAUGGUUGAGCAACAUGUACAUGAGACAACCUAAGAAUAGGCACAACCAAAAUGAUGUGUGUGAGACACGUCAAAGCACUUGAGAAGACUAGUAUAAGGAUGAGAAUUAAGCAUCAACAUAGCCUUGAGUAAAUGAGAUACAAGGUGCAAGACAUGUCCUUCCCACACACAUGAAGUUAAGAAGGUCACACACACAUCAAGAAAAUGGGUUCACAAGCUCACUAAUAGCAAACUAAAAAUCAAAGCUUGUGACAACCCAUGAUGAAGAUAGGAAAUAAUAGGCUUGUCAAGACAAGCAUGAGGACAACAAUCUUCACCAAACAUGAGUGCACUAAGAUGGAAAGAGGUAAGACAUGCACUCAUUCAACAAAUGCUUCCAUGGAGCCACCAAAAAGAUAUAAAAAGUGAAUGAAAUGGUGGACAUGAAAGAAUAGGGAUAUCAACUAGAGAUGUAACUUCUCUCACGUGUAUAAGAUACUAGGUAGAUGAUAUCCACAAAGAAGGAUGUACACAUAAAAUAGUUACAAAAGGAAGGAAUAAGAUAUCAAAACGGGAGUCAUAAAAUAUACCAAUGAGAUCUUUGCUUGAAAGCAUGGCACAUGGCUUAAUAUAAUCUUAUUGUAUAUUAAUGAACUCCAAACACACAACCAUCAAAGACAUCACAACUAGCAACAAGAGAUCAUUGUUGGGAUGCUUUGAGAAAGGAAACAAGUAUCACAGGAACGAGUCAAGAAAUUCAUGCCAUGAUGCAACCUACACAAGGUUGAAUGCAAGAAGUGUAUGCAUGAAGUAGAUACUUGUUACCGUGAUAGCAUUGGAAUGAUGUAGUAGGUAAUGGUUCGAGCUUGGCUCUAAUUUCCUCAUAGUGCCACCACUUUCAUGAAUAAGCCAAGCACCCAAUGCUUCUCAAAUGUACCUAAAACAAUUUAAGUACAAUAUGGUCCCCAAACUUAUUGGGUCCAAAGUAGUUAGCAUAAGUACAAAACAUAGGGUAUCAUCACUUAAAUAUGUGCAUAUCGAUAUGAAUUUGAAUAUCAUGCACAUCUUAGCUAUUAAGAAUUUGAUGGAUUUACCAUAUAUAUAUUGGAUCAAAUAAAGCAAACAAGGCAUGCGAAUUUACACAUAGUAAAUACACAUGCACAAGCCUCCCAAAAUCCAGGGAGAUACAAAUUGGACAAAUGAACACAUAACCGUUAAUACUUCCAAUAACAUCACUAGUCAUUCAUGUUGUCCAAAAUGGCUCAAAGUGACAAAUCAACAUAUGAUAGCACACAAAGUUCAACAUAUGAACCAAGGAAAAAUAAUGAGCAUAUAAGAUAUGCAUUGCACACAUACUCAUGGGAAUUUCUCACUCAAGUAGAUAUAGGACACUAUAAACAAUGAGAUAACAAACUACCAUAACUCCAUACAAACUAAUAAGAUGAACUCGAACAAAAUGGUGUUUCAAUUUGACAUUUGGUGUAGAAACCAAAUAAGUACAUGAUGAUAUAUACUAACACAAGCAUAACAUGAGAGUUUAGAAAUAAACACAAUGCUUGGAUAGCAUAUUAUUAACAUUCCAAUUAGAUAGAUCAUCAUGCAAAGCAACAAUUAGAAUGGAUCUAUUCAAAUGAUUUUCCAAAUAUGAUUUUUUUUAAGAUAACCAUGGGCAAAACCGCACAAGAAUACCAUACUCAAACAAAGCAUUGCAUGCCACAGAGAUAUAAGAUAAUCUCAAAUAUAAAUUCUAAGUGGCAAACUGGCAAACCUCUAUUGUUAAUGUUCACACGAGAAGUGAUAUGUACAAAGUAUAUCACUCCCCCAUAAUGUGAUAAUCCAUGUAUUAUCCAUAAGAGGCAAAUGAAACCCAACUAAGGAUAAUUAAUGGAUGAGGAUUUGAGUUUCAAAUGAACUUUACAUACCACAUAGUAACUAGAUAAUAUUGCACUAACAAUACUAGGUGGUAUCCUACAUAUAUACAUAUUUAAGGUUUGUGAUAUGCGUAAAUCAUAGCACUCCCCCAUAAUGUGAUGAUCCAUUAAUAUCUCAAAAACACCAAUGAAGAUUCAACUAAUGAAGCAAUAAAGGCUUGAAGCCACACACGCACAAAUAUAUGAAGUGCAUUGUGACCUACACAUGCUAGAUAACACAAAUCAAGCAUACUAGGAAGCACAACUCUAAAAGCACAUGCUAGGUACAAAACCUAAACAUGCAAGGGACACAGUAACUUUCAAUGUAAACAAUGCAAGUACAAGUUACCGCAAAGAGGAGCAUUGUAUUGAUAGAUAUGAUGAUAAUCCACUUUACUUGGCAUUAACCAUAACAUAUGGUGAAAAUAGUUUUUCUUCAUGAAGUAGCCAAGUCUCCAAUGCCCUCCACACACCUAUUGAUCAAGUUUGUGCUUGAUGGUCCCCAACCAAGUUGGGUCCUAAGAAGUUAGUAACAAUAGGCUUGGCAACCCAAAUGGUCUUGUCCACUUUCAAACUUCUCUGGGAACCCACAAACUUGGCAAACACAUUGCCAACAAUAUCCUUCUUUAGAGAAUAAUGAUUAUUGACUAUAGGAGGCUUAGAUAUGUUACCGUUGGAACAAGAUGAAUCUAUGUGUCCCUUCUUAUGGCAAAUAUAGCAACAUAUGCUCCCCUUUCUCUUCUUCUUUACCUUUUCAACUUGGAGAGCAUUAUCUUGGUUAGGCAUGGGAAGAGGCCUUUCAUUAUCUUGAUAUUGAACUUGAGGCCACUUCCCUUGAUGCUUCACACUUGAAGCCUUCUUCUUCAAUGGACAAGAUCUCACAUGGUGUCCAACAUUCUUGCACUUGAAGCAAAUAAUGUUGGCCGAAUUCUUGACUUGAUCUCGUCCCUUCUUCUUGUUCUUGGACUUCUUCUUGUUGGAGAUGAAAUCAAGUCCAAUUUUGUCUUGAGGGUCCUUUUGCACACUCAAGAUAUUAUCACAAUAUUUUUCCAAGUCUUUCUUCAAACUGGUGACUUGGGCCUUGAGCUCUUUAUUUUCCUCUACAAGGUUAGUAUUAACAAAAGAACUAGAGGAAGUAGAAACUUCAUUGUUAGAGCAACAAGGCAUGGUGAGCAAUUCAUCACAAGAUGUACCAAUAUCAUGUAGAGAGGAAUUGCAAGGACUAGCACAUGGCAAUAAGGCAUUUCGAGUAGAAGAUGUGCUAAUAUCCACAUGAGACUCACACGAUUUUACCUUGGUCCACAUAGCCUCAUGAGCUAACUUUAGCCCAUCAUGAGAGAUUAUAAGAUCCUCAUGAGUGCCCGAGAGCUUUUCAUAACUUUCUUCCAAUUUCCCAUAGUUGCUAGUUAGCAAAUCAAGUUUAGUCCUUAGGUCAACAUUUUCUUUUAAUAUCGAUGCUUCACACAAGAUAGAGUUAGUAGCACAUGCAUCAUUAUCAAUAUGAGAGGAGCAUGUAGAAGCUAGGGACUCCGCAUGAGUAGCUUGAAGUUCCUCAUGAGACUUAGAGAGUUUGAUGAGCUCUCCUUUGACCUUCUUGUAGUCAAGGUCAAGGGGCUCAAAAUCCUCUUUAAGUUUACAAUGUGUAACUUCAAUCUCUUCUUUUAAAGACCUCAAGUCACUAAGACAUUGAUGAGCCAUAGCAAGUUCAUGUUCAAGUUGUUCACUUUUUGCUUGCUCGUAAAGAAAUAAGUCAUUGCGUUUUUGAAAGCAAGCAAGAACAUCUUGGAACCUUUUAUAAGUGUUAUUUUUAGCUCUACGAAGAGUUUUCCCAAUCUCAUAGAGAUUUUGGGUCAAGACUUCAUCAUCUUCCUCAUUACAACUAUCAUCAUUGUCAUUAAGAGAAGAUGAUACCUCGUCAUUACCUCUUGCCAUGAGGCACAUGUGAACGCAAGGGGUUGAUGAUGAUUCUUUUGGAUAAGAGGGUUCUUCAUCAACCAAGCAUGCCUCAUUUUUCUUGAUUUCCUCUACAUGGUUAGUUUCACAAAUAGAACUAGAGGGAAUCACGAUAUUUCUAUCAUGGCAACAUGGGAGAUCAAGCAUAUCAUCACAAAUGAGCUUAACACCAUCAUUACAGGAUAUUUCUUCACUCACCAUGUCAUUACCUUGUGGUAUGCCACAUGUUGGUGAAGUGAAAGAUGUUGGGGUAUGCAAGUAAUCGGAGGUGGAAGCAAUAGAGAGCUCUUCAUGAUUUAAAAAUGUGGAGAACUCCUCCAUUAACUCCCCAAAAAGAAUAUUGUCUUUAUGAAGAUUGGACCCACCAUAUAUAUCUUCAAUUUUGGUCCAAGCAUCAUGAGCCAACAAACAAGACGAGAUUGACUUGAACACCUCGAAGGUUAUAGCUUGGUGAAUGAAACUUAAAGCUUCACAAUCAAGAUGCAUAUCAUCAAGUGAUGAAGAUUGUCCAUCCUUUAGAUUUGAAUUCCCUACAACCACAAUCCGCAAAGCAUUUGGACCCAUGGCCCGAAAGUGACAAAGCAUGCGUAAUCUCCACAUAAUGUAAUUUCUGCCAUUAAAACAAAAUGUGUCAUCGUGCACUAGUUCACUAGUCGACAUCGUUACUCUCUAGGCGGUUAAGCCUAAUAAGGAGAGACCUAGCUCUGAUACCAAUUGAAAGGACCACGAUGUCGCCUAGAGGGGGGUGAAUAGGCGUUUUAAAAUCUUAUACGGAUUUGGCUAUAUCCUAAUGCAGAAAUAAACUAAGAGGAUACUUUUCAAGCACAAAUCCUAAAUAUACCAGGCUAACUAAGUGCACCAACAACUUAGGAUAAACAAGAUGAGAACAACGAGGAUAUGAGUAAGCACAAGUAAGUUACACAAACUUACUCAAUGUAUAUCACAAGAUAUAUAAAUGAAUAAUACACACAACCACAAGUAAGCAAUACAGGCUUACACAAGUUAUGUCACAAGAUAUGGAAAUGAAUGUUACAAUCUAGCAAUUCACACUAAGCACACGAUAGAACAAUAGUAGCAAGUAUGAAUUGCGGACUAUAAAGUGUUGGCCUAGAUAAUCUCUACGAUAUGGUAACCAACACAAUAUAAUGAGGACAACAAGAUAUAGUGAAUGCAAGGUCAAGAGACCAAAGUAAACCACAAGUAGUGGCUAGGGUUAGAAUUAACCGAAGACACGGAGACGAGGAUGUAUCCCGAUGUUCACUUCCUUGGAGGGAAGCUAGUCACCGUUAGAGAGGUGGAUGUUACCACGAAGGCACACCAACGCCACGAAGGCUCACCCUAUUCUCCUUGAGAUAUCACCACGAAGGCGAUUCUCAACCACUAGUGGUAGACCUUGAGGCGUCCUCCAAACCUUCACAAACUUUCCGGGGGACAAAUCACAAGUUGAUUCCUCACCGGAGCACUCCUACCGCCUAGGAGUCUCCAACCUCCAAGAGUAACAAGAUCAAGGGGGAAAUGCUCAAGACUUGCU
RNAcentral lists this long non-coding RNA (8354 nucleotides) under Triticum aestivum (bread wheat). RNAcentral describes it as "long non-coding RNA (TAES_LNC012666)". The record is from RNAcentral. Lineage: Eukaryota; Viridiplantae; Streptophyta; Magnoliopsida; Poales; Poaceae.